Molecule: long non-coding RNA, 498 nt
Organism: Cornus florida
Lineage: Eukaryota; Viridiplantae; Streptophyta; Magnoliopsida; Cornales; Cornaceae
Exons: 2
Source: RefSeq, a predicted model, not a curated record
UAGGUAAGACAAAAAAUUUCAAUGACAAAAAAGGAGUUCAGGAUUGGGUGAUAUGGGCAAAAUUUACGAAGAUGAGGUGACGAUCCAAGAUCUGGACAAACAGAUCUUGGAUCUGGCCAAAGAUCCAAGGUGCGGCUAAGAUAGAAAGGGGGCGGCACAGAUAUAUAUGCAGAUGGCUUAGAAAUUCAGAAGUUGAUAUUGCUGGAAGAAAAGUUGUGUUAAUGGGCCUCUCUUUGAAAUAAAUAAAUCUUCACUCUCGAUUUCAAUUUCAAAUCUUACAGCUUGCUCUUGGGUUUCGGGUUUGGUCACGGAGAUCAUUUGUGUUGUGCUUCUGACUUAAAGAAGAUACUAAUCAGUGGACUUGCAUUUGGAUUUUCUUUUGUGCUCCGAAAUUGAGUUCUUUUUAAUGUCUAAGAACAGUCUUUUUUUGCAUUGAUGUGGUGUGGGUGAGUUUGCACCCUUUUUAAUUCAGUUUUUGUGCCUUUUUUAAUUCAGUAA